UGGUUCUCGCAACGAUGAAGAACGCAGCGAAAUGCGAUACGUAAUGUGAAUUGCAGGUUUUCGUGAAUCAUCGAAUCUUUGAACGCAUAUUGCGCCCUCUGGUAUUCCGGAGGGCAUGCCUGUUUGAGCGUCAUUUCUCUCUCAAACCUUUGGGUUUGGUAUUGAGUGAUACUCUCUUACUGGGUUAACUUGAAAUACUGUGGCAAGAGCUGCUAUUGCAGAUCUCCUCUGAACUAACGUUUCUAGGUUUUACCAAUUCGUUAUGGACAGUUGAAAUCGGUUAUGGCUUUUAAGCUCGGCCUUUACAAUAUCUUCCUAAGUUUGACCUCAAAUCAGGUAGGAUUACCCGCUGA
This 353-nucleotide unclassified non-coding RNA is filed under the name uncultured fungus. RNAcentral's name for it is "partial contains 5.8S ribosomal RNA and internal transcribed spacer 2". The stretch from base 1 to 133 matches the Rfam family "5.8S ribosomal RNA", at positions 22 to 154 of the family's 154-position model. Lineage: Eukaryota; Fungi. The record is from RNAcentral.